Molecule: ribosomal RNA, 746 nt
Filed under: Sticta filix
Lineage: Eukaryota; Fungi; Ascomycota; Lecanoromycetes; Peltigerales; Lobariaceae
Description: LSU rRNA
Rfam family: Eukaryotic large subunit ribosomal RNA
Source: RNAcentral
GCCGGUCUAAGUUCCUUGGAACAGGACGUCGUAGAGGGUGAGAAUCCCGUAUGCGACCGGCGAUCAAGUCUGUGUGAAGCCCCUUCGACGAGUCGAGUUGUUUGGGAAUGCAGCUCAAAAUGGGUGGUAAAUUUCAUCUAAAGCUAAAUAUUGGCCAGAGACCGAUAGCGGACAAGUAGAGUGAUCGAAAGAUGAAAAGCACUUUGGAAAGAGAGUCAAACAGUACGUGAAAUUGUUGAAAGGGAAGCGCUUGCAAUCAGACCGGUCCGGAGGCGAUCAGCCGCUGCUCGUCAGCGGUGCACUCGCCUGCGAUCCGGCCAGCAUCGGUUUGGGCGGUGGGAUAAAAGUCCCGGGAAUGUAGCUUCUUUCGGGGAGUCUUAUAGCCCGGGUCGCAAUGCCGCCCGCUCGGACCGAGGACCGCGCUUCGGCUAGGAUGCUGGCGUAAUGGUUGCAAGCGACCCGUCUUGAAACACGGACCAAGGAGUCUAACAUCUAUGCGAGUGUUUGGGUGUCAAACCCAGGCGCGGAAUGAAAGUGAACGGAGGUGGGAACCCGUCAGACGGCGCACCAUCGACCGAUCCAGAUGUCUUCGGAUGGAUUUGAGUAUGAGCAUAGCUGUUGGGACCCGAAAGAUGGUGAACUAUGCCCGGAUAGGGUGAAGCCAGAGGAAACUCUGGUGGAGGCUCGCAGCGGUUCUGACGUGCAAAUCGAUCGUCAAAUCUAGGCAUAGGGGCGAAAGACCAAUC